RNAcentral lists this ribosomal RNA (1446 nucleotides) under Staphylococcus sp. Ac15. Its description in RNAcentral is "bacterial SSU rRNA". It matches the Rfam family "Bacterial small subunit ribosomal RNA". The record is from RNAcentral. Lineage: Bacteria; Bacillati; Bacillota; Bacilli; Caryophanales; Staphylococcaceae.
ACGCUGGCGGCGUGCCUAAUACAUGCAAGUCGAGCGAACAGAUAAGGAGCUUGCUCCUUUGACGUUAGCGGCGGACGGGUGAGUAACACGUGGGUAACCUACCUAUAAGACUGGGAUAACUUCGGGAAACCGGAGCUAAUACCGGAUAACAUUUGGAACCGCAUGGUUCUAAAGUGAAAGAUGGUUUUGCUAUCACUUAUAGAUGGACCCGCGCCGUAUUAGCUAGUUGGUAAGGUAACGGCUUACCAAGGCGACGAUACGUAGCCGACCUGAGAGGGUGAUCGGCCACACUGGAACUGAGACACGGUCCAGACUCCUACGGGAGGCAGCAGUAGGGAAUCUUCCGCAAUGGGCGAAAGCCUGACGGAGCAACGCCGCGUGAGUGAUGAAGGGUUUCGGCUCGUAAAACUCUGUUAUUAGGGAAGAACAAAUGUGUAAGUAACUGUGCACGUCUUGACGGUACCUAAUCAGAAAGCCACGGCUAACUACGUGCCAGCAGCCGCGGUAAUACGUAGGUGGCAAGCGUUAUCCGGAAUUAUUGGGCGUAAAGCGCGCGUAGGCGGUUUCUUAAGUCUGAUGUGAAAGCCCACGGCUCAACCGUGGAGGGUCAUUGGAAACUGGGAAACUUGAGUGCAGAAGAGGAAAGUGGAAUUCCAUGUGUAGCGGUGAAAUGCGCAGAGAUAUGGAGGAACACCAGUGGCGAAGGCGACUUUCUGGUCUGUAACUGACGCUGAUGUGCGAAAGCGUGGGGAUCAAACAGGAUUAGAUACCCUGGUAGUCCACGCCGUAAACGAUGAGUGCUAAGUGUUAGGGGGUUUCCGCCCCUUAGUGCUGCAGCUAACGCAUUAAGCACUCCGCCUGGGGAGUACGACCGCAAGGUUGAAACUCAAAGGAAUUGACGGGGACCCGCACAAGCGGUGGAGCAUGUGGUUUAAUUCGAAGCAACGCGAAGAACCUUACCAAAUCUUGACAUCCUUUGAAAACUCUAGAGAUAGAGCCUUCCCCUUCGGGGGACAAAGUGACAGGUGGUGCAUGGUUGUCGUCAGCUCGUGUCGUGAGAUGUUGGGUUAAGUCCCGCAACGAGCGCAACCCUUAAGCUUAGUUGCCAUCAUUAAGUUGGGCACUCUAAGUUGACUGCCGGUGACAAACCGGAGGAAGGUGGGGAUGACGUCAAAUCAUCAUGCCCCUUAUGAUUUGGGCUACACACGUGCUACAAUGGACAAUACAAAGGGCAGCUAAACCGCGAGGUCAUGCAAAUCCCAUAAAGUUGUUCUCAGUUCGGAUUGUAGUCUGCAACUCGACUACAUGAAGCUGGAAUCGCUAGUAAUCGUAGAUCAGCAUGCUACGGUGAAUACGUUCCCGGGUCUUGUACACACCGCCCGUCACACCACGAGAGUUUGUAACACCCGAAGCCGGUGGAGUAACCAUUUAUGGAGCUAGCCGUCG